CAUUUUAAAGACCAGUUAUAUUUUCCUUGUAUUUUUACUCUUCAAAAUUUAGAUACACAAAUGUCAGUCUCUAAUUAAAUAAUAUUCAAUACCAUUUAAGUAUUUGAAAUUCAUGACAGUAGAUAAAAAUAGUAGAUAAAAAUGACAUUUCUACAUUAGAGAAAAAUAUGUAUAUGAUAAAAACCUUUUUUCUUGUAUGUAUGUGGAGAUUUAUAUUUAAACAGAAAAUAUGAAAGAAUAAACUACAUUACACGUUAUACCUAGAGGCAUUGGUUUGGGGUGUUUGGUCUAUAAUUUUUUUUUAUAAUCUUGCCUUGAAAACUAUCUAACUUUUCGACUUUAAGAAGCUUACAAUGUUUACAAUGUCCGAUUUGCAAAUAUUGAUAAUGAGGCCCAUGAUUUUUUACAUUCAAUUACUUAGCUGCCUAGUGAACCAGAAAAGAUAUAAAUAUUAAAACAGAGCAGAUAAGCAGAUAAAAAGCACUUACCAUGUCGGAAUACAUGCAAAUGUAUAUGUAGAAGACAAUAUUUUAAUUAUUAAAUAUUGCCUUCCUUCUUAUACAGCAAAUUUUUUUUAAAGAUCAUUAAUACAAAAUAAUAGCAAAAAAAAUAAAAUCCGUGUUUCAAUCUGCCUCGACCUAUGUUUUAAUUCAAAGAUAGGAUUUGUUUUUUCAUUAUCAUUCGCUAUUCAGUGUUUCUGAUUGGUCGAUUCAUUACCAUUUGGCGAUGUCAGAGGUUAACGUGACAAUGACCACUGGAUUUAAAGUCUGGACAACAGCAUCUAUUUAUAAGAAUGUAGACACUUUUUUUUUUGUUAGUAAGAACUACAAGUGACAGAAAGUAAUGAUUUUGAAUCUUAGGUGGAAAUUUAAUUGCUAAUGUUCCUCUGAAGGCUACGUAUCGCUUCUAACCUUUAAAAAAUGCUUGUUGGUAUGGUUAGCAUGGGCCUAGCCAGGAUUUUUUUCGGGUAGGGUUUGGGGGGAUUUUUUCUCGCCCCCUCCAUAUAUAUAUAUAUAUAUAUAUAUAU
Molecule: non-coding RNA, 1027 nt
Organism: Biomphalaria pfeifferi
Lineage: Eukaryota; Metazoa; Mollusca; Gastropoda; Planorbidae
Source: the annotation of a GenBank genome assembly